Molecule: ribosomal RNA, 612 nt
Filed under: uncultured bacterium
Lineage: Bacteria
Description: bacterial SSU rRNA
Rfam family: Bacterial small subunit ribosomal RNA
Source: RNAcentral
CCUACGGGAGGCAGCAGUAAGGAAUAUUGGUCAAUGGAGGCAACUCUGAACCAGCCAUGCCGCGUGCAGGAAGACGGCCCUAUGGGUUGUAAACUGCUUUUGAACUAGAGAAAACCUUGGUACGUGUACCGAGUUGAUAGUAUAGUUAGAAUAAGCAUCGGCUAACUUCGUGCCAGCAGCCGCGGUAAGACGAAGGAUGCAAGCGUUAUCCGGAUUCAUUGGGUUUAAAGGGUGCGUAGGCGGACUGAUAAGUCAGUGGUGAAAUCUCUCAGCUUAACUGAGAAACUGCCAUUGAUACUGUUAGUCUAGAGUACAGAUGAUGUGGGCGGAAUAUGACAUGUAGUGGUGAAAUACUUAGAUAUGUCAUAGAACACCGAUUGCGAAGGCAGCUCACAAAACUGUAACUGACGCUGAGGCACGAAAGUGCGGGGAUCAAACAGGAUUAGAUACCCUGGUAGUCCGCACCGUAAACGAUGAUUACUCGUUGUUGGCGAUAUGACAGUCAGCGACCAAGCGAAAGCGAUAAGAAUCCACCUGGGGAGUACGCCGGCAACGGUGAAACGUCAAAGGAAUUGACGGCUUGAGGAGNGCGAGCGACGACGAGGGGAGAGG